ACCCCAGACUCCUACGGGAGGCAGCAGUGGGGAAUAUUGCACAAUGGGGGAAACCCUGAUGCAGCGACGCCGCGUGAGCGAUGAAGUAUUUCGGUAUGUAAAGCUCCAUCAGCAGGGAAGAAGAUGACGGUACCUGACUAAGAAGCCCCGGCUAACUACGUGCCAGCAGCCGCGGUAAUACGUAGGGGGCAAGCGUUAUCCGGAUUUACUGGGUGUAAAGGGCGUGUAGGCGGGGACGCAAGUCAGAUGUGAAAACCACGGGCUCAACCUGUGGCCUGCAUUUGAAACUGUGUUUCUUGAGUGCUGGAGAGGCAGGCGGAAUUCCUAGUGUAGCGGUGAAAUGCGUAGAUAUUAGGAGGAACGCCAGUGGCGAAGGCGGUCUGCUGGACAGCAACUGACGCUGAGGCGCGAAAGCGUGGGGAGCAAACAGGAUUAGAUACCCGAGUA
Molecule: ribosomal RNA, 447 nt
Filed under: uncultured bacterium
Lineage: Bacteria
Description: bacterial SSU rRNA
Rfam family: Bacterial small subunit ribosomal RNA
Source: RNAcentral